UCUAAAAGGCUUUUUAUUUGUUUGGUCUAAGGAAUGUUGAGUUGUUCUCAUCAGAGAGAUCCUGAUGAUUUGAAAGAUGGUAAAAUCUUGAUGCUGUGUCCUCUUGUGCAUCAACAGCUAUGGAACCAGCUCAAGUAAAGAGAAAAGAGGAAGACAAUUCAAUCUUUUCUAUAAUACAGUUGAUCAAAAGUAAUAAAAAUAUGAUACAUGGAAUGCAUAAAGCAGGCAACUCACAGAAAGAUAUACUUACUAAAGAAAGCAGCAUCCAGAAGGUUUACUGUGGAAUCUUUUGGGAUCAACACCUGUGGAGGAAGAGAAUAAGGCUGGAGUCUUCAGAGACUGAAUCUUGCUAAGUUGCCCAGGCUGGCCUGGGCCAAAAUUUUGGAUCCUCCUGUCCCAGCCUUCAGCCAAGUACCUGGGAUAGCAGGCAUGUAUCACCAUGUUCAGCUGUUGAGCUUCUUUUGAUGUGCUUAGUGGUCAUUUAUCAUGGCUAUAUUUUUCAUGGAUAGGAUACUUUAAAUCAAAUAACUUUCUAGGAUCAUUAUCUCCUCAUUUGGAGAGAAUUCUUCUCUGUCAAGGUUAAUAUCUAGAUUCCCCCAAGAGCCUUAUGUGCUCAGAGGUAGAGUUUUAGAACAGUGAUCAGAUUGUGAGAGCUUAUCGCUGACUUGCUGAUAGGUGGUGGAUUCUGGUCAGAAGAGGUG
This is a long non-coding RNA of Heterocephalus glaber (naked mole-rat), 701 nucleotides long. RefSeq lists it as uncharacterized. NCBI's taxonomy places the organism in Eukaryota, Metazoa, Chordata, Mammalia, Rodentia, Bathyergidae. The record is from RefSeq and is a predicted model, not a curated record.